This 450-nucleotide ribosomal RNA is filed under the name uncultured bacterium. RNAcentral describes it as "bacterial SSU rRNA". It matches the Rfam family "Bacterial small subunit ribosomal RNA", at positions 354 to 796 of the family's 1533-position model. The record is from RNAcentral.
GUGGGGAAUAUUGGACAAUGGGCGAAAGCCUGAUCCAGCCAUGCCGCGUGUGUGAAGAAGGUCUUCGGAUUGUAAAGCACUUUAAGUUGGGAGGAAGGGCAGUAAGUUAAUACCUUGCUGUUUUGACGUUACCGACAGAAUAAGCACCGGCUAACUUCGUGCCAGCAGCCGCGGUAAUACGAAGGGUGCAAGCGUUAAUCGGAAUUACUGGGCGUAAAGCGCGCGUAGGUGGUUUUGUAAGUUGGAGGUGAAAUCCCCGGGGUCAACCUGGGAACGGCCUCCAAAACUGAAUGACUAGAGUGCGGUAGAGGGUAGUGGAAUUUCCUGUGUAGCGGUGAGAUGCGUAGAUAUAGGAAGGAACACCAGUGGCGAAGGCGACUACCUGGACUGAUACUGACACUGGGGUGCGAAAGCGUGGGGAGCAAACAGGAUUAGAUACCCCGGUAGUCC